UACGAGAUAGGCUCCGGUCUCGUGGGCUCGGAGAUGUGUAUAAGAGACAGCCCCGAAAUAGCUUUAGGGCUAGCGUCGAGGCAGAGUCGCAUGGAGGUAGAGCACUGAAUGUACGAUGGCCCCAUCCCGGGGUACUGAGUAUAAUCAAACUCCGAAUGCCAUGAAGACGUACUCGGCAGUCAGACUGUGGGUGAUAAGGUCCAUGGUCAAAAGGGAAACAGCCCAGACCGCCAGUUAAGGUCCCAAAAUGUAUGCUAAGUGGAAAAGGAUGUGGGGAUGCACAGACAACUAGGAGGUUGGCUCAGAAGCAGCCAUCCUUGAAAGAGUGCGUAACAGCUCACUAGUCGAGUGACCCUGCGCCGAAAAUGUACCGGGGCUAAGCAUACUACCGAAGCUGCGGAUUCAACUUUAGAGUUGAGUGGUAGGGGAGCGUUGCAUGCACGUAGAAGCCGUACCGUAAGGAGCGGUGGAGAGCAUGGAAGAGAGAAUGCCGGUGUGAGUAGCGAGAUGUAGGUGAGAAUCCUACACACCGAUAGCCCAAGGAUUCCAGGGGAAGGUUCGUCCGCCCUGGGUAAGUCGGGACCUAACGCGAGGCCGAAAGGCGUAGUGGAUGGAAAACAGGCAGAUAUUCCUGUACCCGCGAUGGAAAUGAAGGAAUGACGGAGAAGGCUAGUGUGAGCCACUGAAUGGAUUGUGGUCGAAGCAUAUAGCAGGCUGACAGUGAAAUGCGUCAGCAGGAUGUAAGAUGUGACAGGUAAGGGAACGUCCUCGGACAAGUACUGAAGCACAUGAUGCCAGCUUCCAAGAAAAGUUUCUAGUGAUAAUUCCAUAGCGGCCCGUACCAAAACCGACACAGGUGGGCAAGGAGAGAAUCCUGAGGUGAGCGAGAGAACUGUUGCCAAGGAACUCGGCAAAAUGACUCCGUAAGUUAGCGAUAAGGAGUGCUCUUGUAAAAGAGAGCCGCAGUGAAGAGGCCCAAGCGACUGUUUAACUAAAACACAGCUCUCUGCAAAGUCGCAAGACGAAGUAUAGGGGGUGACGCCUGCCCGGUGCUGGAAGGUUAAGAGGAUUUGUCAUCCGCAAGGAGAAGCAAUGAAUUGAAGCCCCAGUGAACGGCGGCCGUAACUAUAACGGUCCUAAGGUAGCGAAAUUCCUUGUCAGGUAAGUUCUGACCCGCACGAAAGGCGUAACGAUUUGGGCGCUGUCUCAGCUGUAGACUCGGUGAAGUCUUAGUACCUGUGAAGAUGCAGGUUACCCGCGACUAGACGGAAAGACCCCAUGGAGCUUUACUGUAGCUUGAUAUUGGACUUUGAUGCAAGAUGUACAGGAUAGGUAGGAGACUGAGAGACAUGCACGCCAGUGUGUGAGGAGUCAAUGUUGGGAUACUACUCUUCUUGUAUUGGAGUUCUAACCGGAUGCCAUGGAACUGGCAACGGGACAGUGUCAGGUGGGCAGUUUGACUGGGGCGGUCGCCUCCCAAAGAGUAACGGAGGCGCCCAAAGAUACCCUCAGCUUGGAUGGAAAUCAAGCGCAGAGUGCAAAGGCAUAAGGGUGUUUGACUGCGAGACCUACAAGUCGAGCAGGGACGAAAGUCGGGCUUAGUGAUCCGGCGGUGCUGAAUGGAAAGGCCGUCGCUCAACGGAUAAAAGCUACCCUGGGGAUAACAGGCUGAUCUCCCCCAAGAGUUCACAUCGACGGGGAGGUUUGGCACCUCGAUGUCGGCUCAUCGCAUCCUGGAGCUGAAUUCGGUUCCAAGGGUUGGGCUGUUCGCCCAUUAAAGCGGUACGCGAGCUGGGUUCAGAACGU
RNAcentral lists this ribosomal RNA (1806 nucleotides) under human gut metagenome. Its description in RNAcentral is "bacterial LSU rRNA". It matches the Rfam family "Bacterial large subunit ribosomal RNA", at positions 703 to 2619 of the family's 2925-position model. The record is from RNAcentral.